RNAcentral lists this transfer RNA (72 nucleotides) under Floydiella terrestris. RNAcentral's name for it is "tRNA-Ile". It matches the Rfam family "tRNA". From Rfam's summary of the family: Transfer RNA (tRNA) molecules are approximately 80 nucleotides in length. Their secondary structure includes four short double-helical elements and three loops (D, anti-codon, and T loops). Lineage: Eukaryota; Viridiplantae; Chlorophyta; Chlorophyceae; Chaetopeltidales; Chaetopeltidaceae. The record is from RNAcentral. RNAcentral also lists the same sequence under 1 other name.
GCACUCUAGGCCGACCGGUGAGGCACCCGACUCAUAAUCGGAUUUAGGCGGGUCCGACUCCCGCAGGGUGCA